UUUGUCGCGUCUGCUGUGAAAACCUGGGGCUUAACCCCGGGCCUGCAGUGGGUACGGGCAGACUAGAGUGUGGUAAGGGAGACUGGAAUUCCUGGUGUAGCGGUGAAAUGCGCAGAUAUCAGGAGGAACACCGGUGGCGAAGGCGGGUCUCUGGGCCAUAACUGACGCUGAGGAGCGAAAGCGUGGGGAGCAAACAGGAUUAGAUACCCUGGUAGUCCACGCCGUAAACGUUGGGCGCUAGGUGUGGGGCUCUUUCCACGAGUUCCGUGCCGCAGCUAACGCAUUAAGCGCCCCGCCUGGGGAGUACGGCCGCAAGGCUAAAACUCAAAGGAAUUGACGGGGGCCCGCACAAGCGGCGGAGCAUGCGGAUUAAUUCGAUGCAACGCGAAGAACCUUACCAAGGCUUGACAUGGGGCGAAAACUGGCAGAGAUGUCAGGUCCGCAAGGGCGCUUCACAGGUGGUGCAUGGUUGUCGUCAGCUCGUGUCGUGAGAUGUUGGGUUAAGUCCCGCAACGAGCGCAACCCUCGUUCUAUGUUGCCAGCACGUAAUGGUGGGGACUCAUAGGAGACUGCCGGGGUCAACUCGGAGGAAGGUGGGGAUGACGUCAAAUCAUCAUGCCCCUUAUGUCUUGGGCUUCACGCAUGCUACAAUGGCCAGUACAAAGGGCUGCGAGACCGUAAGGUGGAGCGAAUCCCAAAAAGCUGG
This 706-nucleotide ribosomal RNA is filed under the name uncultured Actinomycetes bacterium. RNAcentral's name for it is "bacterial SSU rRNA". It matches the Rfam family "Bacterial small subunit ribosomal RNA", at positions 579 to 1285 of the family's 1533-position model. Lineage: Bacteria; Bacillati; Actinomycetota; Actinomycetes. The record is from RNAcentral.